UACGUAGGGUGCGAGCGUUGUCCGGAAUUACUGGGCGUAAAGAGCUCGUAGGUGGUUUGUCGCGUUGUUCGUGAAAACUCACAGCUUAACUGUGGGCGUGCGGGCGAUACGGGCAGACUGGAGUACUGCAGGGGAGAUCGGAAUUCCUGGUGUAGCGGUGAAAUGCGCAGAUAUCAGGAGGAACACCGGUGGCGAAGGCGGAUCUCUGGGCCUUACCUGACGCUGAGGCGCGAAAGCUAGGGGAGCGAGCAGG
This 253-nucleotide ribosomal RNA is filed under the name uncultured bacterium. Its description in RNAcentral is "partial 16S ribosomal RNA". It matches the Rfam family "Bacterial small subunit ribosomal RNA", at positions 524 to 776 of the family's 1533-position model. The record is from RNAcentral.